UACAGAGGUGGCAAGCGUUGUCCGGAAUCAUUGGGCGUAAAGCGCGUGUAGGCGGCCAGGUAGGUCUGCUGUGAAAACUCGAGGCUCAACCUCGAGCUGUCGGCGGAAACCCUCUGGCUAGAGUCCGGAAGAGGCGAGUGGAAUUCCUGGUGUAGCGGUGAAAUGCGCAGAUAUCAGGAGGAACACCAGUGGCGAAGGCGGCUCACUGGCCCGGAACUGACGCUGAGGUGCGAAAGCGUGGGGAGCAAACAGG
This 253-nucleotide ribosomal RNA is filed under the name uncultured bacterium. RNAcentral's name for it is "partial 16S ribosomal RNA". It matches the Rfam family "Bacterial small subunit ribosomal RNA", at positions 524 to 776 of the family's 1533-position model. The record is from RNAcentral.